UAGGAGGUGGGGUAGGACUGAGUGAUGUAGUGGCUAGGGAUUGGGGGGGCUUGUGACAUCAGUAGGAGGGGCUUGUGUCAUCACUAGUCAAUAAGAGGUAGUAUCAGGUUACUCUCUUGGCAGAAAAAGAGGCAUGAUGGGAAGAAGGCUGUCCUUUAGUGGGAGAAGCCAUAAUUUUAGCUCCACCUUUGACCUUCUACUUCCUAUCUGCCAUGAAGUGAGCAGCUUCCCUCAGCCUGGGCCCUUCCACCAUGUUGCUUCUUCCUAGAGCCACCCAACAUAAAAUCCGUGUCAGAAGAGAAUGACUGAACUCCUGCUGAGAAACAGAUUGAAGACCAAGAAAGACCCAGAUGUGCUCCCUAGGUUAUGUGCCAUGGACUGAAGAAGAUGGCAAGCAAGAAGUUAUUAGUCCCACAGAUCUUCCAUUCAGUCCCUGCAGUGACAGCUAUCAUGUGCCAGCAUAGUCAAGAAAAAACAAGGAAGCAGAAAUUGGCUGAAAAUAGCAAGUGAGAGAAAGGAUCCUGGACAAGAUGCAGGACCUGCUGGCCUGUCUUAUAUGUUUUAUUUACAUUAUUAACUUAAUUCUCACAAAAGGAUUGCACAAAUGAGGAAACUGAGGCUCAUCAAUGUUGAGAACUUGCUCGAGGUCACAUGGUACGUCAGUGCAAAAGUGGGACCCAUAGCUCUAUCUUUUCAUUCCCUUGACCUCCCUCUUUGCUGCCACACUAGGCUGGCUUCCUACAACACAGAAGGAAAAGGGCAAACACCAUGAUUUCAACUACACUCAAGAAUCAGAAAUAUGGGCUGAAAAUGGGUUGGGUCCCAAAGAUCAUAACAACUAGAAUUAGUGACCGCACAUGUUAGGUGUUACCUCUGAUUAUAAACAUUAUGAAAAAGGCAAGUGACAUGGUAUACAACUGGUAAUUGCAGAAACUGAGCCUGAAAUGUCACUGACCUCACUUUCUACUGAAAAACCUC
Fukomys damarensis (Damara mole-rat) is the source of this 978-nucleotide long non-coding RNA. RefSeq lists it as uncharacterized. NCBI's taxonomy places the organism in Eukaryota, Metazoa, Chordata, Mammalia, Rodentia, Bathyergidae. The record is from RefSeq and is a predicted model, not a curated record. The transcript is spliced from 3 exons.